GUUGGCGGCGUGGAUUAGGCAUGCAAGUCGAACGAAUCCCUUGGGGCUUGCUCUAAGGGGGAAGUGGCGAAAGGGGCAGUAAGGCGUGGGUAACCUACCCCGGGGACGGGCAUAGCCGUCCUAACGGACGGGUAAUUCCUGGCGAUCUGACGAGGGGGCAUCCUCUUGUCAGGAAACGAGUUUCGCCUCGGGAGGGGCUCACGUAGUAUUAGCUGGUUGGUGGGGUAACGGCCUACCAAGGCGAAGAUGCUUAGCGGGUGUGAGAGCACGACCCGCGCCACUGGCACUGAGACACUGGCCAGACUCCUACGGGAGGCUGCAGUCGAGGAUCUUCGGCAAUGGGCGCAAGCCUGACCGAGCGACGCCGCGUGUGCGAUGAAGGCCUUCGGGUUGUAAAGCACUGUCGAGGGGGAUAAAGCCGCAAGGUCGAUCGACCCCUGGAGGAAGCACGGGCUAAGUUCGUGCCA
This 467-nucleotide ribosomal RNA is filed under the name uncultured soil bacterium. Its description in RNAcentral is "bacterial SSU rRNA". It matches the Rfam family "Bacterial small subunit ribosomal RNA", at positions 35 to 510 of the family's 1533-position model. The record is from RNAcentral.